AAAUACGAAAUUUUGUUCGUCAAUUUUCUUUUUACUAUAGUAUUCCUAAAAAUUGUAUAGCCAUUGACCAAUAUGCCCUUAGAUUCUACCACCCCAAAAGUUUUGCCCUAUUUAUGCAGACGCUUCCACCAAAAAACAGCUUUGAGCAUAGCCUUAGAAAAGAAGAAGAAUGAGGCAACAGAGAGAUUGGGAUUUUCUGUAAAAGGGUGGUUGCCCCUCUCGUUAUGCCUGUGAUUUCUCCAUUUACAAUCAACAGCCCUUUAAAUUAAACAAAAAUAAAAAAAAUCAUCCAAACAGGCCCCAAAUAUAUUGCUCUUCCUCUUCCUCUUCCUCCUCUCUUUGUGCUGCUACUGAUGUAUGUAAAGGGGCUGUGAUGAUUGCUUUUCCUUUCUGGGUUAUGUUCAAUUCAUGGCAUUGAGAAUUAUCCGACCCGUAUCUUGGCGGGGCGACCCGGUACGGCUUUUCUAUAGCAAACUGGUGUCUGCAGCCAUGGCGGCGGCGCCUUCUCUUUUGCUUUGACUAAAAAUGCAGCAAAUCUGAGCCCUCAGGAAAAGUCCCGAGUAUUAGCCUCUUUGGCCGUGUUUCUAAAAUCAGCUUAUUUUGUUAUAGCCUGUUUGACCGUGCUUUUAGAAUCAGCUUAUUAGAUCUAAAGAAACUAACCCUUAUUUUUUGGGACCUCAAAGUCUGCAAUUAUGAAAAUGACGCUCCCUUUUCUUUCCCUCAAAAGGAAAAAGGUUAGCCCAGAAGAAUUACAGAAAUGAUGCAAAACCAGAGAGUUUGGGAUUUUCUUUGAAAGGGUGGUUGCCCCUCUGUUUCACCAUUGAUUUUCCUCCAUUAUUAAAAAACAAGAAGAACAACAGCCCUUGCAGAAGUGGCAGAAAUGAUUUAAGUUAAAGAUACUAACAUCUCUAGGAGUCUUGGAGAAACAACAAAGUUAAUUCCGUGUGGCUUAUAGGUCACAGAUUCCAGCACUAAUACUUGCAUUAGGGUAGGCUGUAUAUAUUAUACCCUUAGGGGUGCCGCCCUUCCCUAAAUCUUGCGUGAAUACGGGCUGCUUUACGCACCGAGUUGCCCUUUAUUGACAUCUUGUCUUUCCUCUGUGUGUGUUAUUUUAUAGUGUUGAUGCAAGGUACAUAAAGUGGCAGUGAAGAUGAUGUUUCUAUAUCUGGGCUAACCGGUUUGGGUAUUGAGAUGACCUGACCUGUAUCAUGGCGUGGCAACCCUGUAUGGCCUGUGAUCGAGAAUAUUGAAUCUUCUCUCGCACAUGCAACCGGUGUUUUGCAGCCAUGGCCUUGUUGGCUUCUCUUUUGCCUUAUCAUAACACACAUCUGAGCUCCGUUUGCUUGAAAGUACAAGAAACAUAAUCUUUUCCAUGAUUUGAUGUUGGGAUAUGUUGAGCCCGCGACCUUCUGCCACAACUAAGAGUUUGCAAACCCAGUAACUCAAAUGGGUUGUGGUAGAAAUUCAACUCGAAUAAAGUUCAAAUCGUGGUAGAAAUUCAACUCGAAUAAAGUUCAAAUCUUGAAUCCGCAUCUGGAUGUAUAUGCAUUUAUCUCUGUUACACUAAUCGCCUGUUUGGAUGGUUGUUGUCAUUGUAUUAUAUUUUUUCUUUAAAUGGCUAGACAAGGAAAAUAUGAAGCAUAAAUUGUAAUGGGGUGAGAAAAAAGACCUCGAUGGUCCCUUAACUUUAGGGUAGGUCUAUAAUGGGGUUGUGAUAAUUGAUUUUUCCGAGCUUGAUGGAAUCAGGAGUUGAUAGGUCGUAUCUUGGCGGGGCAGCCCAAUAACUGGAUUUGCAGCCAUGGCGAUGCUAAAGAUAGAAUACAGAUGUGAGCCUCAAAAUCUCUGUUAUUACCAUCUCUACUUCACCAAUUUAGAGUGUUAAAAAUAUUUAUCUUUCCUACUGUUAUUGAGAUGGGGAGUAUGGUGGGUUAAACUUUUGUUUCUUGUUAUGAGUUAAAUAAAGGCUUGACUUUUGGAAUGAAAUAUUUUUGUUGGGGUAUUUUAUUCAUAUUUGGUCCUUGCGGAAUUCGUUUUCUUCUACAUGGGAAGAAAAGUAGCAAAUCAUGGGAUUUUAUGCUCUUGAUAAUGGGAACCAAAAUAAAAGAGGGAAAAUAAGGAAAAUUAAGUAGGCAUAAUUAUUUUUUCCCUCCGUUUUGCAAUGGGAAAACUACGGCAGAGUUGGAAACUAAACAGUAAUUUGUUAUCUAUUUAAAAGAUGUGCAUUUUAGUGUAAGAUGCUUUAUAUUUCAUCUCGUUUACAAGAUGAAGAGAUCCAGCUCAGAAUGAAGAAUAAGGGCUUGGCGAUGGAGUAAAGGGCAAUCUGGAGCCAUGGCGGUUUUGAGAAACUCCAUCUCUGAUCAUAGUGAGAUAUGAGCCUCAUAUGAAAAUAGCAAAAAUCUUGUUAGUUUAAGGCUGAGGCUGCUGUGAAAGCAGAGGGAUAUAGGGAGUUUCAAUUGGUGGUUUGCCCUUCUAUGUCGUUCUCUAUGCCGAUGAUCACUCAAAUGAAAAAAAAUUCCAAUUCCUAAACCAGCCUUUGGUGAAAUACAGAUAACCUCUCUAUUUUCCUUUCUUGUUACUCCUUCUGUUUCACUUUUAUGUGAUGCAAUGAGGCUAUGAAGAUUUUUUUUCUUCUGUGAACGAUGAUUCAAGACAUAUAUUUUAUGUUGAGCUGGAAAAAAACUAUAACUUGGCUUGGCAGCUCAGAUGGGUCUGUGAGAUAUUAGAAAAUAUUCCAGUUUUUUGUGUU
Long non-coding RNA from Nicotiana attenuata, 2746 nucleotides. RefSeq lists it as uncharacterized. The transcript has 2 exons. The record is from RefSeq and is a predicted model, not a curated record. Lineage: Eukaryota; Viridiplantae; Streptophyta; Magnoliopsida; Solanales; Solanaceae.